RNAcentral lists this unclassified non-coding RNA (253 nucleotides) under uncultured Bacillaceae bacterium. RNAcentral's name for it is "contains 16S-23S intergenic spacer region". It matches the Rfam family "Bacterial small subunit ribosomal RNA", at positions 524 to 776 of the family's 1533-position model. Lineage: Bacteria; Bacillati; Bacillota; Bacilli; Caryophanales; Bacillaceae. The record is from RNAcentral.
UACGUAGGGGGCAAGCGUUGUCCGGAAUUAUUGGGCGUAAAGCGCGCGUAGGCGGUUUCUUAAGUCUGAGGUGAAAUCUUGCGGCUCAACCGCAAGCGGUCAUUGGAUACUGGGGAACUUGAGUGCAGAAGAGGAGAGUGGAAUUCGUCGUGUAGCGGUGAAAUGCGUAGAUAUGUGGAGGAACACCAGUGGCGAAGACGACUCUCUGGUCUGUAACUGACGCUGAGGUGCGAAAGCGUGGGGAGCAAACAGG